Molecule: ribosomal RNA, 1038 nt
Filed under: Triticum aestivum (bread wheat)
Lineage: Eukaryota; Viridiplantae; Streptophyta; Magnoliopsida; Poales; Poaceae
Description: partial small subunit ribosomal RNA
Source: RNAcentral
AUGGGGGUCGACUACUACAAGGUCCUCGGCGUCGACCGUGGCGCCAGCGACGACGACCUCAAGAAGACCUACCGCAAGCUCGCCAUGCGGUGGCACCCAGAUAAGAACCCCACCACCAAGAAGGAGGCGGAGGCCAAGUUCAAGCAGAUCUCCGAGGCGUACGAGGUCCUUAGCGACUCCCAGAAACGCACAAUAUAUGACCAGCUAGGGGAAGAAGGGCUCAAGGGACAGCCGCCUCCAGGGGCAGGAGGUCCUGGUGCAUCUUCCUUCUACCCUGGUGGUGGCCAGUCAACCUCAUUUCACUUCAAUCCGAGGAGUGCGGAUGAUAUAUUUGCUGAGUUUUUCGGAUUUUCUGGGCCUUUCGGCCUGGGUGGCAUGCCGGGUGGCAGCAUGAGAGGGGAACCAAGAUCUUAUGGUGGGGGCAUGUUUAGCAACGAGUAUCUCGCUUCGCGAUUUGCAGAGGGUUCUGCCGGCAAUAUGCCGCGCCCAUCACACAAACCAGCACCCAUUGAGAAUCGGCUUCCGGUGACCCUUGCGGAUUUGUAUAAGGGUGUAGCCAAAAAGAUGAAAAUCUCAAGAGAGGUCAUAGAGACCAGUGGGAGAGUUUCACAGGUAGAAGAAAUUUUGACGAUAGAUGUGAAGCCCGGUUGGAAGAAGGGGACAAAGAUCACCUUCCCUGAAAAGGGGAAUGAAUCUCCAAGCAUGACGCCUGCUGAUAUUGUCUUCAUCAUUGAAGAGAAGCCCCAUGAUGUUUUCACCAGGGAAGGAAAUGAUCUAGUCAUGACACAGAAGAUCUCGUUGGUGGAAGCACUGACUGGCUAUACCAUGCAACUCACAACGCUCGACGGGCGGAACCUGUCCAUACAAGUUAACUCGGUGAUCCACCCUAGCUAUGAAGAGGUGAUCCCUGGAGAGGGGAUGCCAAUACCCAAGGAGCCCGGUAAGAACGGAAAUCUGCGCGUUAAGUUCAGCAUCAAGUUCCCUUCCAGGCUGACGUCUGACCAGAAAGCUGGGAUCAAAAGGCUUUUGGGUUCUUAG